Non-coding RNA from Acanthosepion pharaonis, 109 nucleotides. Lineage: Eukaryota; Metazoa; Mollusca; Cephalopoda; Sepiida; Sepiidae. The record is from the annotation of a GenBank genome assembly.
CAGUCACAUCGCAUUGAAACAACGUUUCCUAUAUGAUCACGAAAGUUAAGCAACAUUGAGCCUGGUCAGUACUUAGAUGGGUGACUGCUUGGGAAUACCAGGUGCUGAA